Capsella rubella is the source of this 851-nucleotide long non-coding RNA. RefSeq lists it as uncharacterized. The transcript has 3 exons. NCBI's taxonomy places the organism in Eukaryota, Viridiplantae, Streptophyta, Magnoliopsida, Brassicales, Brassicaceae. The record is from RefSeq and is a predicted model, not a curated record.
CGUCUCUAGUCGUACUCAUAAAUCACAGUGGUCUCCAGUCGUGCUCCAUCGUCUCUGGUGCUCCAACGUCUAUCUACGACGUCAUUUCUCUUUGUCUUCCUCUGAUGUAUAAGAGAUUUGGGGUUUGAAGAUUUGGAGAUUUCGCAAUCGAAAAACUGAAGAUCGAAGCUUUAUUGCUGAUUCCAAAAUUUUUGCAGGAGAAGUUAGAAAUAGCUUCGUUGGGAGAUGUGUAUGAGCCGAUCGAAACUUUGAUGGAUCUAUUUGGAGAAUUGAUGGAUUGGAAGCAUAGUACAGAGACGAAGUUGAACGCGUCGGCGAAGAGAUUCAUAACGAUGAGACGCAAAUUCGAUAUGUUUCUUAUUUUGCUUCCACCUUUAGUACCAACAACGAUAACACAUCAAAACUCGCAGAUCAAUUUUGUGUCAAUAGAGUUGGUGAUAAGAGGUGGUGGUCGCAAAUCUGGGGUGAUUAUGGCGUGGCGGUAGUGGUUACAAAGGAGAGCAAGGUGUUGUGGUGUUUGUGGAGGCAACGACUGCUACAAGUUCCUACACUGAUUAACAAUGUAAACUCUUGUUGAUAUUGCUGUUUUGGAAUAAUUGGAUAAGACAUAGAUUCUGGAAAGAUGAAGAAGAAGGAGAAGAGAAGGUGAACAACAUGACACCUAUGACAAACUUCUCACUUAAGCACCAAAGUUCAAAAGCUCAUACUCCAUAGAUUCUUGCAUGAGUGAAUACCUUCCUGAAAUUCAAAGAUGAUUUCCUAAAAGUAAUGAAAUCUUUCCUAAAUUUUUAAAAAUGAUGUAUACAUCUCUUUAUUUAUGUUUUACCUCAAUAUAUCACAUAUUACUUCAU